RNAcentral lists this long non-coding RNA (309 nucleotides) under Mytilus galloprovincialis (Mediterranean mussel). Lineage: Eukaryota; Metazoa; Mollusca; Bivalvia; Mytilida; Mytilidae. The record is from RNAcentral.
CGGCUAUUUUCAAAAUGAUUUUUUUAGAAAGGAGCAAAGACUGGCGUCCAGAAUAUGAACCAGCACACAGUAAAUUGAAUAAUGUAAAAAUGAGAAAACUGUUCGGCUAAAGACGUCAAACGCUUUUUGUCAUAAAUUACCCGACAAAUUUAACAAAAGAUAUGGUAUAUCAAGGUAGCGACUGACGUCUGACUAAAUAGAUGAAUGGGGCUAAAUAUUAAAAUACAACUUUUUGAUAAAUAUUCCUAAAGUAAUGAACAUAGAGAAGUUCUCGCUCGGACACACACUCCAUAAUCUAGUAUAAUAUAA